This is a long non-coding RNA of Canis lupus familiaris (dog), 1575 nucleotides long. RefSeq lists it as uncharacterized. Lineage: Eukaryota; Metazoa; Chordata; Mammalia; Carnivora; Canidae. The record is from RefSeq and is a predicted model, not a curated record. The transcript is spliced from 2 exons.
ACAGAACUAGGCAUCCAGGUGAGCUGCUGCAGCCUCCCACUGGGGCCCGGAAGUCCCUGGAUCAGGGGGCACCUGCCACUGCUGCUGAUCACAGAACAGUGUUGCCACAGACCUUGAGAGGAAAAUGCUCAUGGAAUCCUGUCUCUCUCUCUCUCUCUGAAGGUCUAUUCAGUGGUACCCACCAGGCUUCCUCUACAACUCUGCUGAUUUUGCCCUAUAUUUUUCUGGAAUUGCUGCCUCAGAAGGGUCAGGCCCCGCAGUGUGUGCUUGUGGGACGUGGAUGAAAUGGUAUCAGGUGUGGUGGGUACUGCUAGGAAUGGCCUACAAUGAGCAACUUCCAGUUCUCAAGGAGGGAUGCACUGCCAGCCUGAGGGGAUGAACUCUUCUAGAAGAAUCCCUCCUUCUAUUGGGAGGGAUUUACUCACCAGGGACCUGGAAAAGUCAAUCUUGGGUCUUCUGAAUGUCUCCCUCUGCUCCUUGGUAUUCAUACUUGAAGGUCACUUGCUCUCUGAUGCUUCACUGAUGACCUCUUCCAUCCCCACACCAAACAGAAUUAGCACUCCUUUCUAUGUAUUCUCAUAUUACUUGGUACACACACCCUCUGCUGUAGCAAAUAUCGAAUUACUUUUUUUUUAAGUAGGCUUCACACCAAUGUGGGGCUUGAAUUCAUGACCCUGAGAUCAAGAGUUGGAUGCUUAACGAUUGAGCCACCCAGCUGUUCCUCAAAUUACAUUUUGUUUAUGUACAUGUUAUGUUUUCAAGUUGAGUUGCUCAAAGGUAGAGGCUGCUUUUGUAAAACUACUACUGAAUGAGCAUUGUACAUAUGUUAUCUCAUUUGGUUCUUCCAAUAAGCCUAAUAAGAACUAGGGAAAGAACAGCUAAAUAUCAUGCUUCAUUGUCAGGUAAAUGCUUAGUAGAAACAGGGAUGAAAGUAGGCCAAGUUUUAUGUGUAUAUGUAGCACAGUGCUUGGCAUUAGGCAUGGUGUGUGGGGGGGGGUUGCCAAUAAAUGCUCAUCAAAUGAGUAAGUAAUUAAGUGAAUAAACUAUAUGCUACAAACUACAAGGAAGCCUUUUGAUUUCUAGCUAUAAACAUGUCCUUUCAGUUAUUCUCACAGCUCUAGGCUGCUGCAGACUUUAAUUCAAACCAGACCUAAAUAACUAGGAAGAGAAGGAUAUAUCACAAAACAAAAUUAUCAGAAACAAUGCAGCUAACCACCUUACUUAAGGUCAUCUACUGAGCUUGGCAUUCCUGAUAAUGUACUUCUCAUCAUAGUGAUUAUUUAAAGAUUCAAUUUAAAAUGUUAAUACUGCAGUGUCAGAAACAUACAAAUAUGAAGAGAAGAUGAAAUCAAAGAAAGCUUCAUUUCCCGUUAUAAAUUAAACUUUGUCAUGCACUGUGUUCAGAUGAGAAGUUUUCUUUUGCUAAAUAAGACCUACCUAAGGAAAUUUGAUAGAAAACUGACUUAACCUAUAUUUGUAGUCUUUACUGAUUACUAGUUUUUGGUACCAUUACCUUCCAGUGUCCCAAAGGAGCGCAUUGCUCUGAUUUUAAUGAAUAAAAUUAUUUUACUACUA